GACGAACGCUGGCGGCGUGCCUAAUACAUGCAAGUUGAGCGCUGAAGGUUGGUACUUGUACCAACUGGAUGAGCAGCGAACGGGUGAGUAACGCGUGGGGAAUCUGCCUUUGAGCGGGGGACAACAUUUGGAAACGAAUGCUAAUACCGCAUAAAAACUUUAAACACAAGUUUUAAGUUUGAAAGAUGCAAUUGCAUCACUCAAAGAUGAUCCCGCGUUGUAUUAGCUAGUUGGUGAGGUAAAGGCUCACCAAGGCGAUGAUACAUAGCCGACCUGAGAGGGUGAUCGGCCACAUUGGGACUGAGACACGGCCCAAACUCCUACGGGAGGCAGCAGUAGGGAAUCUUCGGCAAUGGACGAAAGACUGACCGAGCAACGCCGCGUGAGUGAAGAAGGUUUUCGGAUCGUAAAACUCUGUUGGUAGAGAAGAACGUUGGUGAGAGUGGAAAGCUCAUCAAGUGACGGUAACUACCCAGAAAGGGACGGCUAACUACGUG
RNAcentral lists this ribosomal RNA (497 nucleotides) under uncultured bacterium. RNAcentral describes it as "partial 16S ribosomal RNA". It matches the Rfam family "Bacterial small subunit ribosomal RNA", at positions 28 to 507 of the family's 1533-position model. The record is from RNAcentral.